Molecule: ribosomal RNA, 623 nt
Filed under: Proteus mirabilis
Lineage: Bacteria; Pseudomonadati; Pseudomonadota; Gammaproteobacteria; Enterobacterales; Morganellaceae
Description: partial 23S ribosomal RNA
Rfam family: Bacterial large subunit ribosomal RNA
Source: RNAcentral
AUGGGGUGACUGCGUACCUUUUGUAUAAUGGGUCAGCGACUUAUAUUCUGUAGCAAGGUUAACCGCAUAGGGGAGCCGUAGGGAAACCGAGUCUUAACUGGGCGAAUGAGUUGCAGGGUAUAGACCCGAAACCCGGUGAUCUAUCCAUGGGCAGGUUGAAGGUUGGGUAACACUAACUGGAGGACCGAACCGACUAAUGUUGAAAAAUUAGCGGAUGACUUGUGGAUGGGGGUGAAAGGCCAAUCAAACCGGGAGAUAGCUGGUUCUCCCCGAAAGCUAUUUAGGUAGCGCCUCGUGAACUCAUCUUCGGGGGUAGAGCACUGUUUCGACUAGGGGGUCAUCCCGACUUACCAACUCGAUGCAAACUGCGAAUACCGAAGAAUGUUAUCACGGGAGACACACGGCGGGUGCUAACGUCCGUCGUGAAGAGGGAAACAACCCAGACCGCCAGCUAAGGUCCCAAAGUCAUGGUUAAGUGGGAAACGAAGUGGGAAGGCUCAGACAGCCAGGAUGUUGGCUUAGAAGCAGCCAUCAUUUAAAGAAAGCGUAAUAGCUCACUGGUCGAGUCGGCCCGCGCGGAAGAUGUAACGGGGCUAAACCAUGCACCGAAGCUGCGGCAGCGA